Molecule: ribosomal RNA, 492 nt
Filed under: uncultured bacterium
Lineage: Bacteria
Description: partial 16S ribosomal RNA
Rfam family: Bacterial small subunit ribosomal RNA
Source: RNAcentral
AGUGAACGCUGGCGGUAGGCCUAACACAUGCAAGUCGAACGGCAGCACAGUAAGAGCUUGCUCUUACGGGUGGCGAGUGGCGGACGGGUGAGGAAUACAUCGGAAUCUACUUUUUCGUGGGGGAUAACGUAGGGAAACUUACGCUAAUACCGCAUACGACCUACGGGUGAAAGCAGGGGAUCUUCGGACCUUGCGCGAUUGAAUGAGCCGAUGGCGGGUUAGUUAGUUGGCGGGGUAAAGGCCCACCAAGGCGACGAUCCGUAGCGGGUCUGAGAGGAUGAUCCGCCAAACUGGAACGUAGACACGGUCCAGACUCCUAAGGGAGGCAGCAGUGGGGAAUAUUGGACAAUGGGCGCAAGCCUGAUCCAGCCAUACCGCGUGGGUGAAGAAGGCCUUCGGGUUGUAAAGCCCUUUUGUUGGGAAAGAAAAGCAGCAGGUUAAUACCCCGCUGUUCUGACGGUACCCAAAGAAUAAGCACCGGCUAACUUCGUG